AAAAGAAGUCUGAAAACUCUCAUCCAUGACGAAGUGUUUCUAGAACUUGAUUGAGGGGGUAGAGGGGAGGAGAAGGAAAUUAUGAGCACACAUUUAAUCCCCACUUCAUGCUGCACAGGGCCAGAGACAUAAAUUUAGGCCACCACAGAGAUGUGGUGGGAAACAUUAGAGUUUUAAACAGAUGCUAAAGGUCAAUCCAUUCAGGAAAUUUAUGGAAAAUUUGAUAAUACUGAACUACCCCAACCAGUCCCUCAUGUUUGGGUCAAAUUUCAAUUAUUGAGAGACCUUUAUGUCAGGGGAAAAUAAUUUCCAGCAUUGAUAGCAUAUUCCCUGUCAACAUAAAUCAGGAAAAACUAGAUAUAGAUGCAUCCAUCUGCACUUCCCAGGUCUGCAGUUAGAAAUCUCUGCGUGUAUCUUACUCUACUUAAAUGGAUUAAGAAAUGUCCUUGAUCCUCCUGUCCAACCAUGUUAGUUUUACUUGCUCUCUGGACAUUUGACAGAAGACUGUACACUUCUGUCCUUCUGCAAAACGUCUUACUUCUGUAAUGGAAUUAUGCAAGGUUUGCUUCAGGUCUGUAAGUCAGAUAUUUUUUGAACAGAAAAAACGUAGCCUCCCUGAUAGCCUAAUUUGCACAGAGCUCAAUGACAUGCAGCUUUCUUGGUUUCUCUUCCUUCUUUUCCCCAGGUCCUGAACAGUUUUAUUUCAUGAAAGAAUCAGAAAAGGAAGGGUGCAGCUCAUGGAUACAGAAAUUCAUGCAGAGAUUUGGUAUACUCAACCACAGUUCCAGUCCCACCUUCCUUGCCGGGGGAAGUUUUCUCAGAUCAGCAUGGGAUGGAGCCACCCAAGCAGGACUGCUGUCUAAUAGGAGGACAACCCAGAGCAGAGGACACCCCAUGGAAGGUCAAGAAGAGACCUCUUCAGCCAGAGCACAUCUCCAAGUACCUAAGCAAGGCAAGUGAUGCAACACUGGAGAUGGAAACCAGAUCCCACCAAGCACUGAGAACAUAAUGCAAUAUUAGGGUCACAAAGAGGUCAAGAUGGAGGUCAACCCACAGGUGGAGGUCUGGCUCAAGGCAGGCUGGGGACUCACCAGGUACAGCUGUGGCAGGGACCAGCUGCCCCCAGGCUGAGCUCAGGUGGCCCUGGGUGUGGGGGGACACAGGUGAGGCAGUCAGGGUCAUUGAAACUUAUUAAUGCACUCAGGACUCUGACAGAAUGUUUCACAGGGUCAAAAAAAAAAAAAAAAAAAAAAAAGGGAUUUGCAAGCAUUACACUGAUAUGAAGUAUGAUAUGGUACCUACGUAUUAUAUUAUUAUGGGGGUAGAUCCCUCCAUAUACUACAGAAUAUGUUAACUCCUUUUCUAAAAAGGUCUUUUUCUGCAGAAGGGGAAUCGGAAGAUCUGUACAGACUCAGUUUUUGCCAAGGUGGUUGUGGGUAACUUGUGGGUGGUAUUUUGGCAAAGGAAAAUGCAUUUUGUUAGAGAUACAAAAUAUGUCAUGCUAUGACAUCUACCCAUACAAUGACAGAGGUUAAAGAUGGAAAAGUGUAUUAAUUCAGUUACUCCCCAUUUGGAUAUAAAAUUGUGGACAUAGUAAUCCAUAAGAAAUGAUGCUAAUACAUUUCACACAGGGUGAAUUUGUACAUUUUCUAGAAAAUGAUGGAGCAAGAUACCAUUCUUUGACUAGUAGAUAAAGAAACAUCAAAGUGGAAAUUUUUAGAAAAAAAACCUGAAAGUAGACUAAAAAUAUUUUCUCUAUUAGUUUUACCGAUAUUAACCAUUCACACUCUCCCAGUUACUGUCAACUGUUUUUUCAAAGAGGAACAAGAAUGUUGCCGUGUUUCUUUACAACAGUAAAUUACAUUAAUUCUGUAUCGCUUAAAUAUUCUCACAAACAAAUAUGAGAUGAAAAACUCCAAAUCAAUGAAUUAAAGAAUCUAUGAGAUAUUUACUGAUAAAU
Anser brachyrhynchus (Pink-footed goose) is the source of this 1960-nucleotide long non-coding RNA. The record is from Ensembl. Lineage: Eukaryota; Metazoa; Chordata; Aves; Anseriformes; Anatidae.